UGUUUCUGCUCUUUUUUUCUAUGUUCUCAAUUACCAUUAUUUCCAGUUUAGUUAUGUCAGGUACUAGAAAAUGUUCCUAUAAAUACGGUUUUGGAAAUUAUGGUUCGAGGGCGAAUCAUAAACGUUCUUUUCUAUGGACUAUCAUGGCUGGGGGGCUGGACAAGCUGUAGCCAUUUUCCAUGGGAUAUAUGCCAACCCUGUUUUAGCUGAUGCAUCAAAUGGAAGUAGUGCUGAAACAGAAUCAGAGGGGGCUAAUAUAACUGGAUUACGUAAAAUUGAGGAUGGCCCNNNNNNNNNNNCAAAUGUACAUACUUCUAAAUGGAGAAUAUUUACUGAUAAUGGGAGGGAAUACUUCCUGCAGGGAAAAUUGGAUGAAGCUGAAAAGUUCUUCCUUUCUGCCCUAGAAGAAGCUAAAAAAGGUUUUGGGGAUAGGGAUCCUCAUGUUGCUUCUGCUUGUAACAAUUUGGCAGAGCUGUAUAGAGUCAGGAAAUUGUUUGAUAAAGCAGAACCUUUGUAUUUGGAGGCUGUCAAAAUAUUGGAGGAAUCAUUUGGUGCAGAUGAUAUACGUGUGGGGGCUGCCUUUCACAACCUUGGACAGUUCUAUCUUGUGCAGCGGAAAC
Molecule: unclassified non-coding RNA, 620 nt
Filed under: Hevea brasiliensis (rubber tree)
Lineage: Eukaryota; Viridiplantae; Streptophyta; Magnoliopsida; Malpighiales; Euphorbiaceae
Source: RNAcentral